CUAAGCUAUCAGUGAUUCCAGUGAGGAGAGGUUACUGGGGUAACAAGAUUGGGAAGCCACACACUGUGCCUUGCAAGGUUACAGGGAAAUGUGGGUCUGUUACUGUGAGGAUGGUGCCUGCUCCUCGUGGUGCUGGUAUUGUUGCUGCUCGUGUCCCUAAGAAGGUUCUUCAGUUUGCUGGUAUUGAAGAUGUCUUCACAUCUUCUCGUGGAUCCACCAAAACCCUUGGAAACUUCGUUAAGGUUUGAUCUUUUAACAGAUCUUGCAAAUAUUAUUAUUGCUAAUACUUAAUUAUGUGAUGAUUCUUUUACAUGUAUCUUACUAUAGCAUAAGAAUUGACGCGUAUAUCAUUAUAAUUGAACAAAAAAGUUUAAUUGUCUAUACAUUUCGUUUAAAAUAGCUACUAUGGAACUAAAUAGAACAUUUGUAAAUAUCCAUGAGUUAUUAUGUUGAUAUAAAAUGAUCUUCCUGUAGGGAAGUUAUAUCUGUAUCAAUAUUUGGCUACAAAGUUCCCAAAUUUCAGAAAAAUUGCUCUGAAACUUAGUAGAUUAUUACAGAGAUAGUAACAAUUGUUAGCCUUAUAGUUCCAAAUCUUGUCAUUGUUCAGAGCGAGAUUGUUUAGUUUAGUUCUGAAAGGGUUGAUGUAUUAAGGGGUCGUUUGGUGUGACAGAAAAAAAUAUGUUGUGAUUGGAUAGAAUUUUUGUAUUUUGUUUGGUUGCCGUGCCAUUUAUAUCAUAGUGAUGUUAUCCCAUCUACAUGUUAGCUAACCAUAGAUAACUAAUUCUGGGAUAACUUGUCCCAACCAAACGACCCUUAGGGUAUUGGUUAAAAUGGGACAGUGUGUUGUGAUUGAAUACAGUGUUGAGCAGGUCAAAUUGUGGGAUAGGAGCUGUAUCAUUAUAUCAAUUCUUACCGUUUACUGCAAUACUAGUGCUGCAAUGUGGGAUAAGCACUUUGUUCUAUAAAAUUACUCUUAUGUGUAGAGGGUGAUUGGAUUGGGUUAUUGCAAGUGUCGAUCCAAACACCAUCUUAUACUUGGUUUAAAUGAGCGGACUGCAAUGUAACUACACUUUUUGCUUUUACCAGCUACUAAUUUUAUCUAAAACAGGGUUGAUGAUAUCUGAAUAGCAUAAAAAGCAUUAGGUUUCAUCGUGUUUUGAGUCUGAUACCACUCAUAAUGUAUGCAGGCGACAUUUGAUUGUUUAAUGAAGACCUACGGGUUCCUGACCCCAGAUUUCUGGAAAGAGACUCGCUUCACCAAAUCUCCAUUCCAAGAGUACUUUGAUAUCUUGGCAAAACCUGCCAAUAAGGUUAUUGUCUACGCCACCGAAGAGGCAGCACCUGAGAGGGUUGAGGCUUGAUUCGUUAGAUGUUAUGUGCUCUGUUGUUUUGUUCUAGUAGUUUUCUUUAUUAUGAAAUGUUAGUAUUCUAAAUUUUGACUUCUGUUCUUGAGGGAUAUUUUC
RNAcentral lists this long non-coding RNA (1463 nucleotides) under Solanum lycopersicum (tomato). RNAcentral's name for it is "long non-coding RNA (SLYC_LNC000094)". The record is from RNAcentral. Lineage: Eukaryota; Viridiplantae; Streptophyta; Magnoliopsida; Solanales; Solanaceae.